This 391-nucleotide unclassified non-coding RNA is filed under the name soil metagenome. RNAcentral describes it as "partial contains 5.8S ribosomal RNA, internal transcribed spacer 2, and large subunit ribosomal RNA". The stretch from base 1 to 122 matches the Rfam family "5.8S ribosomal RNA", at positions 35 to 154 of the family's 154-position model. The record is from RNAcentral.
GAUGAAGAACGUAGCGAAAUGCGAUACUUGGUGUGAAUUGCAGAAUCCCUUGAACCAUCGAGUCUUUGAACGCAAGUUGCGCCCGAAGCCAUUAGGCCGAGGGCACGCCUGCCUGGGCGUCACACGUCGUUGCCCCCCCAUCUACUCCUUCGGGAUUGCGGGGGGCGGAUGAUGGCCUCCCGUGCGCCUCGUCGCGCGGUUGGCAUAAAUGCCAAGUCCUCGGCGACACACGCCACGACAAUCGGUGGUUGCGAAACCUCGGUUGCCCGUCGUGUGCGGUCGUCGCGCAUCGAGGGCUCGAAAAAAUUGCCGGGCUCCGGCUCGGCUUUCAACGCGACCCCAGGUCAGGCGGGGUUACCCGCUGAAUUUAAGCAUAUCAAUAAGCGGAGGA